RNAcentral lists this small nuclear RNA (107 nucleotides) under Jaculus jaculus (lesser Egyptian jerboa). Lineage: Eukaryota; Metazoa; Chordata; Mammalia; Rodentia; Dipodidae. The record is from RNAcentral.
UUUCUCACUUUAGCACCACAUAUACUAAAAUUGGAAUGAUACAGAGAAGAUUAGCAUGGCCCUUGUUCAAGGAUGACAUACAAAUUCGUGAAGCGUUUCCUAUUUAA